Molecule: ribosomal RNA, 254 nt
Filed under: uncultured bacterium
Lineage: Bacteria
Description: partial 16S ribosomal RNA
Rfam family: Bacterial small subunit ribosomal RNA
Source: RNAcentral
UACGUAGGGGGGCAAGCGUUGUCCGGAUUUAUUGGGCGUAAAGAGCGUGUAGGCGGCCAUACAGGUCCGUUGUGAAAACUGGAGGCUUAACCUCCAGACGUCGAUGGAAACCGUAUGGCUAGAGUCCGGAAGAGGAGAGUGGAAUUCCUGGUGUAGCGGUGAAAUGCGCAGAUAUCAGGAAGAACACCCGUGGCGAAGGCGGCUCUCUGGGACGGUACUGACGCUGAGACGCGAAAGCGUGGGGAGCAAACAGG